This 95-nucleotide ribosomal RNA is filed under the name Trichophyton tonsurans. RNAcentral describes it as "partial 18S ribosomal RNA". Lineage: Eukaryota; Fungi; Ascomycota; Eurotiomycetes; Onygenales; Arthrodermataceae. The record is from RNAcentral.
UAUCUGAAUCAACGGUUCCUCUCGUACUAAAUUGAAUUACCGUUGCGGCGAACUUCAUCAGUAGGGUAAAACUAACCUGUCUCACGACGGUCUAA